UACGGGGGGGGCAAGCGUUGUUCGGAAUUACUGGGCGUAAAGGGCUCGUAGGCGGCCAACUAAGUCGGAUGUGAAAUCCCCAGGCUUAACCUGGGAACUGCAUCCGAUACUGGAUGGCUUGGAUUUGGGAGAGGGAUGCGGAAUUCCAGGUGUAGCGGUGAAAUGCGUAGAUAUCGAGAGGAACACCUGCGGCGAAGGCGGGUUGCUGGGCUGACACUGACGCUGACAGCGCGAAAGCUAGGGGAGCGAACGGG
This 254-nucleotide ribosomal RNA is filed under the name uncultured bacterium. RNAcentral describes it as "partial 16S ribosomal RNA". It matches the Rfam family "Bacterial small subunit ribosomal RNA", at positions 524 to 776 of the family's 1533-position model. The record is from RNAcentral.